RNAcentral lists this ribosomal RNA (497 nucleotides) under uncultured bacterium. Its description in RNAcentral is "partial 16S ribosomal RNA". It matches the Rfam family "Bacterial small subunit ribosomal RNA", at positions 36 to 507 of the family's 1533-position model. The record is from RNAcentral.
UAUUCCCUCUGGCGGCAGGCCUAAUACAUGCAAGCCGAGCGACCAGACGAGGAGCUUUCUCCUAUCAAGAUAGCGGCGGACGGGCGAGUAACACAUGGAUAACCUACCUAUCAGACUGGGAUCACCUCGGGAAACCAGUGCUACUACCGGAUCAUAUAUUGAACGGAUUGGUUCAUGAGUGAAAGGCAGUUUGGCUGUCACUUAUAGACGGAUCAGCGCCGCAUUAGCUAGUUGGUAAGGUAACGGCUAACCAAGGCAACGGUGCUCAGCAGACAUGAUCGUGUGAUCAGCGACACUGGAACUGGGACUCGGUCCAGACUCCUACGGGUGGCAGCAGUAGGAAAUCUUCCGCAAUGGGCGAAAGCCUGACGGUGCAACACCGCGUGAGUGAUGAGGGACUUCGGAUCGUAAAACUCUGUUAUUAGGGAAGAACAAAUGUAAAAGUAACUAUGCACGUCUUGACGGUACCUAAGCAAUAAGCCACGGCUAACUACGUG